UGGCUUAGAUGGUAAAGCAUCUGUCUACAAUAUGGGAGACCCAGGUUCAAUCCCUGG
Molecule: transfer RNA, 57 nt
Filed under: Bos taurus (domestic cattle)
Lineage: Eukaryota; Metazoa; Chordata; Mammalia; Artiodactyla; Bovidae
Also listed under: 1 other name
Rfam family: tRNA
About the family: Transfer RNA (tRNA) molecules are approximately 80 nucleotides in length.
Source: Rfam by way of RNAcentral